RNAcentral lists this ribosomal RNA (177 nucleotides) under uncultured Gammaproteobacteria bacterium. Its description in RNAcentral is "partial 16S ribosomal RNA". It matches the Rfam family "Bacterial small subunit ribosomal RNA", at positions 335 to 504 of the family's 1533-position model. Lineage: Bacteria; Pseudomonadati; Pseudomonadota; Gammaproteobacteria. The record is from RNAcentral.
ACUCCUACGGGAGGCAGCAGUGGGGAAUAUUGCACAAUGGGCGAAAGCCUNAUNCAGCCAUUCCGCGUGUGUGAAGAAGGCCUUCGGGUUGUAAAGCACUUUCAGUAGGGAGGAAAGGGUAUUNCUUAAUACACAAUAUUUGUCACGUUACNUACAGAANAAGNACCGGCUAACUCC